Molecule: non-coding RNA, 191 nt
Organism: Camelina sativa (false flax)
Lineage: Eukaryota; Viridiplantae; Streptophyta; Magnoliopsida; Brassicales; Brassicaceae
Source: RefSeq, a predicted model, not a curated record
UAUUGGAGGAUACUCAAGUUUGCAACAAGUUGAUUUGAGCUUCAACAAACUACAUGGACCAAUUCCGGCUUCACUUUUUAACUUAAGUGGACUUACUCACUUGUUUCUGGGAAACAACACGUUGAAUGGUUCCUUGCCCACUCAAAAGAGCCAGUCUUUGAGCUAUAUGUGAGUAACAAAAUCCAUUAAAA